CAGGCAUCCCACCUGAUGAAAGUCCCCGCCAGGGUGGUCCUGCAGGGCCCUACUAUCAGUCACAGCGGCUAGCUCUGUAUGCCCAGGCCACAGAAGCAUUGCUGAAAUCUGGAGCUGCCUAUCCCUGUUUCUGUUCACCACAGCGGGUUCUGGACCCAGCAUAUAUGGAGAGGAUCCUCCUGCUGCGACAGGUGUGGGUUUAGGGCCUCCUUAACCCCUUCCAGGGUUUCCCAGGCUCUCACAGUGCAUGUGGUGACUGCCUCUCUACCCAGGGUCACAUCAGCCGUCUGCAGGAUCUGGUCUCCCCAGUGUACUCCUACUUAUGGACCCGCCCUGCUGUCCAUCGAGCAGAGCUGGGCGCCAGCUCGGAAAAGUUGGAUGUGAUUGCCAAACACUUGCUGGGGUAAGUGCUCACAUACCUGGUUAAGGGUUGGAUGCACCCUUCUCAUUCUUUGCCCUGGCUUCUGUCCACCAGACAUUGGCUCUUGCUCCCCAUCACAAAACUGUGACAAGCU
Molecule: long non-coding RNA, 515 nt
Filed under: Rattus norvegicus (Norway rat)
Lineage: Eukaryota; Metazoa; Chordata; Mammalia; Rodentia; Muridae
Description: long non-coding RNA NONRATT001165
Source: RNAcentral